CCUACGGGUGGCUGCAGUGAGGAAUAUUGGUCAAUGGGCGCGAGCCUGAACCAGCCAAGCAGCGUGAAGGAAGACUGCCCUACGGGUUGUAAACUUCUUUUAUAAAGGAAUAAAGUGAGGCACGUGUGUCUUUUUGUAUGUACUUUAUGAAUAAGGAUCGGCUAACUCCGUGCCAGCAGCCGCGGUAAUACGGAGGAUUCGAGCGUUAUCCGGAUUUAUUGGGUUUAAAGGGAGCGUAGAUGGGUUGAUAAGUCAGUUGUGAAAGUUUGCGGCUCAACCGUAAAAUUGCAAUUGAUACUGGCAGCCUUGAGUACAGUUGAGGUAGGCGGAAUGCGUGGUGUAGCGGUGAAAUGCUUAGAUAUCACGAAGAACUCCGAUUGCGAAGGCAGCUUACUAAACUGCCACUGACAUUGAUGCUCGAAAGUGUGGGUAUCAAACAGGAUUAGAUACCCUAGUAGUC
Molecule: ribosomal RNA, 460 nt
Filed under: uncultured bacterium
Lineage: Bacteria
Description: partial 16S ribosomal RNA
Rfam family: Bacterial small subunit ribosomal RNA
Source: RNAcentral